This 29-nucleotide non-coding RNA is filed under the name Homo sapiens (human). Lineage: Eukaryota; Metazoa; Chordata; Mammalia; Primates; Hominidae. The record is from RNAcentral.
UCAUACCAGGUUGCACCGGCCCCUUGCUG